GAGGGUGUAGCUCCAAAGGACAGAGCGGCAGGCCUGCUAAGUCUGCGUCACAGUAAAUGGCCGUCUUGAAAAACGGUUGUGCGGGUAAAAACCCCGUCAUCCUCGCCA
This 108-nucleotide transfer RNA is filed under the name Rhizobium laguerreae. RNAcentral's name for it is "tRNA-Ser". It matches the Rfam family "tRNA". From Rfam's summary of the family: Transfer RNA (tRNA) molecules are approximately 80 nucleotides in length. Their secondary structure includes four short double-helical elements and three loops (D, anti-codon, and T loops). The record is from RNAcentral. Lineage: Bacteria; Pseudomonadati; Pseudomonadota; Alphaproteobacteria; Hyphomicrobiales; Rhizobiaceae.